This 619-nucleotide ribosomal RNA is filed under the name Ciliophora sp. RNAcentral's name for it is "SSU rRNA". It matches the Rfam family "Eukaryotic small subunit ribosomal RNA", at positions 341 to 980 of the family's 1831-position model. Lineage: Eukaryota; Ciliophora. The record is from RNAcentral.
CUACCAUGGCUUUCACGGGUAACGGAGGAUUAGGGUUCGAUUCCGGAGAGGGAGCCUGAGAACGGCUACCACAUCUAAGGAAGGCAGCAGGCGCGUAAAUUACCCAAUCCUGAUUCAGGGAGGUAGUGACAAGAAAUAACAAGCAGUAGCUUUUUGUUACUGAAUUGAAAUGAGCCGAAUUUACAACUCUUAGUGAGGAUCGAUUGGAGGGCAAGUCUGGUGCCAGCAGCCGCGGUAAUUCCAGCUCCAAUAGCGUAUAUUAAAGUUGUUGCAGUUAAAAAGCUCGUAGUUGGAUUUCUGAUAGGGAGCCGAUCACCACUGUAGUGAGUGUUAGGUACCUGUCAUCCUUCUGUUAACUCUAGCGUCAUUCAUUUGUCGUUGGACGGACCAGAUACUUUACCUUGAGAAAAUUAGAGUGUUUCAGGCAGGCCUAGCCGGAAUACAUUAGCAUGGAAUAAUGGAAUAGGACUAUAGUCUCGUCGUUGGUUACGUGGACUGCAGUAAUGAUUAAUAGGGAUAGUUGGGGGCAUUAGUAUUUAAUAGCUAGAGGUGGAAUUCUCUAAUUUGAUAAAGACUAACUUAUGCGAAAGCAUUUGCCAAGGAUGUUUUCAUUAAUCAA